RNAcentral lists this ribosomal RNA (809 nucleotides) under uncultured bacterium. RNAcentral describes it as "bacterial SSU rRNA". It matches the Rfam family "Bacterial small subunit ribosomal RNA", at positions 60 to 876 of the family's 1533-position model. The record is from RNAcentral.
AGUCGAGCGAGGUCCAUCCAGUGGUAACACUGGUGAAGACCUAGCGGCGAACGGGUGAGUAACACGUGAGAAACCUGCCCCGAAGACUGGGAUAACUCUCCGAAAGGAGAGCUAAUACCAGAUGCCCUCACCGGGCCGCAUGACUUGGUGAGGAAAUGGAUUCCGCUUCGGGAGGGUCUCGCGGCCUAUCAGCUUGUUGGUGAGGUAACGGCUCACCAAGGCUUCGACGGGUAGCUGGUCUGAGGGGAUGAUCAGCCACACUGGGACUGAGACACGGCCCAGACUCCUACGGGAGGCAGCAGUGGGGAAUCUUGCGCAAUGGGCGAAAGCCUGACGCAGCAACGCCGCGUGGGGGAUGAAGGCUCUCGGGUUGUAAACCCCUUUCAGCAGGGAAGAUUAUGACGGUACCUGCAGAAGAAGCCCCGGCCAACUACGUGCCAGCAGCCGCGGUAAUACGUAGGGGGCAAGCGUUGUCCGGAUUUAUUGGGCGUAAAGAGCUUGUAGGCGGCUUGGUAAGUCGAGUGUGAAAACUCCAGGCUCAACCUGGAGACGCCAUUCGAUACUGCCAUGGCUAGAGUCCGGUAGAGGAGCACGGAAUUCCUGGUGUAGCGGUGAAAUGCGCAGAUAUCAGGAGGAACACCAGCAGCGAAGGCGGUGCUCUGGGCCGGUACUGACGCUGAGAAGCGAAAGCGUGGGGAGCGAACAGGAUUAGAUACCCUGGUAGUCCACGCCGUAAACGUUGGGCACUAGGUGUGGGUCCCUAUCGACGGGAUCUGUGCCGUAGCUAACGCAUUAAGUGCCCCGCCUGG